RNAcentral lists this long non-coding RNA (1474 nucleotides) under Panax ginseng (ginseng). RNAcentral describes it as "long non-coding RNA (PGIN_LNC010264)". Lineage: Eukaryota; Viridiplantae; Streptophyta; Magnoliopsida; Apiales; Araliaceae. The record is from RNAcentral.
GCUAACCUCGCCGUCCGCUAGUAAUAUCGGCGGACAUGAUAAAAAACCUUUUGGUCUAUAAUACCCCAAUCAGGCCAAAGCAUAUUUAACCUCUUCGCAAUGGCAGAUCGACAAAGUUGAAUUGGAGCAAAUACCCUGUUAACAGACCUCUCAAAGCUAAAGCUGCUGCAAUUUCUUUCUCAUGACUGCAGAUCGGUAAGUUUUUUUUAUUUAAUUUGUAAGUUUUGAAUUUAUCUUACCCACUAGAUUAGUUUUCUCAUAUAUGGGUAUUACUAUUCUGAUUGGUAUAUGACAAAAUUAAUCCACUAGUUUCUGUUUUUUUUUUUGGGUUUUUGUUUGAUUUUUGUGUUGUAUUGUAGUUUACUUUAUCUCUCUACUUUUCUGUUGCUUUGUGUGAAAUUUAUGGAGUUGGAUAGUUUUGUUUAACAAGAAACAAAACUGAACUUUCUGUAUGUAUAUGGUUUAACUGAUUUAGUAUAAGCUCUUCUCCUAGGACUGUUAUGAGUAUGAUUAUUAGAUGUUAAGUAUUCAAAGUUAUUGUCUGUAUAAAACGUAUCAUUUUCUGGUGGAGUAAAGCAAAAUAAAGAUCCAUUUUGUCUCUCAGUCUCUGUUUCAAAUCCUUCAAUAGUUAAAGUUUCUUCCUCUGCUUGCUCUCUCACUGUCUCUCUGUCCUUUUAUAUCCGGCUUUGUAUAUUUUGUUUUUGAUACCUUAUUUGCUUCUAAUUACAUAGGCAAGGAUCACUUAUAAAAUGGUAGUAGUCAUUGUUUGUGGAGUUGCAAUUAAUACGGAAUGAUGGAAUUUAAUCUAUGGUGCUCUUCUUAUCAAUUAUACUGUCUUAAUUUAAGGUACAAUGUCCGAAUUUAUGAUUGUUGUGCAUCUAUUAUCUCAUUGAUUUUGACUUCUUAAUUUCGAAAUAUGUUAUAGUGAUAUGUUUCAGCGUCAUUAGCUUUUGUUGAUGGUUAAAUUGUUUGUUUUCUUUUUUAAGGUUCCUGAAGGGAGCUUCAAGCAUUGAUUAACACUUUUACUCAACGCCCUUUGAGAAAAAACAUACCUGUAUUUGCCCCCGCUGACUUGACCUUUUCUUGAUAUUUGAUUGUUCUACUUGAUGGAUGUGUCAUUAAAUUAUCUUUUAUAAUAUCUAUCGCAUGCAUUACUAUUCGUUUUGUGAUAGACUUUUUCUUCCGGUCCAAAUGAUUACUGAAAAAAACAGUGGUUUACUAUACGAAUGUUUGAUAUGUAUUACUAUUUGUUGGAAAAAAACAGUGGAUUACUAUAACAAAUGUUUGAUAUGAAUGCAACUUAUUAUGUAGAUCUUAUUCCACAGAAUUGCUAUGAUAUUUAAGCAUUUUUCAUUCGAGUCUGUGCAGUCUGUACCACUAUUUUUUGGUAUAGGUAUUCAAAUCACGCCCAAAACAUUAUAUUAUGAAAAAAUAUCAAUUCCAUAAAAUAUUAAAUAUUUUUUUUUAGUUGUUU